AGAGUUUGAUCCUGGCUCAGGACGAACGCUUGCGGCGUGCCUAAGAAAUGCAAGUCGAACGGAAAGGUCCUUCGGGACACUCGAGUGGCGAACGGUCGCGUAACACGUAAGCAACCUGCCUCAAAGUGGGGGACAACAGCCCGAAAGGGCUGCUAAUACCGCAUGUGGCCAACGGGGGGCAUCCCCUGGUGUCUAAAGGAUUUAUUCGCUUUGAGAUGGGCUUGCGGCCUAUCAGGUAGUUGGUGGGGUAAUGGCCUACCAAGCCUUCGACGGGUAGCUGGUCUGAAAGGACGAUCAGCCGGAUUGGGACUGAAAAUACGGCCCAGACUCCUACCGGGGGGAGCAAUUAGGAAUCUUGCACAAUGGGCGAAAACCUGAUGCAGCGACCCCCCGUGAAGGAAGAAAGAUCUCCGUCUGUAAACUUCUUUUUAGUGGGGAGAAAAUUUGACGGGACCCCUUUAAUAAACCCCCGGUAACUACGUGGCCCCACCCGCGGUUAUACGUAUGGGGCGAGCGUUGUCCCAAGUUUCUGGGCGUAAAGCGCGCGGUAGCGGUUAAUUUAUUCUGUGGGGGGAGGGUCCGCGCUCCACGCGCACAUUGCCCUGGGUACUGGGUGGACUUGAGUCUGGGAGGGGGUAUUGGAAUUCCUGGUGGAGCGGGGAAAUGCGUAAUAUCAAGAGGAACAACGGUGGGCGAAGCGACUACUUGGCUAAGACUUGAUGCCUGAGUGUCGGAAGCGUGGGAGCGGACGCGGAUAGAUACCCCCGGUAGUCACGCAGUAAACGAUGAGUGCUAGUUGUUCGGGGUAUCGACCCCCCCGGGGUGCCGUCGAUAACGCAUUAAGCACUCCGCGGGGGGAGUACGGCCGCAAGGUUGAAACUCAAAAGGAAUUGACGGGGGCCCGCACAAGCGGUGGAGCAUGUGGAUUAUUUCGUCACUAACCGAAGAACCUUACCCAGGUUUGACAUCUGUAGACCGUGCUGAAAGGGCGGGGGUGCUUUCGGGAGCUACAAGACAGGUGUUGCAUGGCUGUCGUCAGCUCGUGUCGUGAGAUGUUGGGUUAAGUCCCGCAACGAGCGCAACCCUCACCGUAUGUUGCCAGCGUAAAGUCGGGAACUCUUACGGAACUGCCCGUGCAAGCGGGAGGAAGGUGGGGAUGACGUCAAGUCGGCAUGGCCCUUACGCCUGGGGCUUCACACAUGCUACAAUGGGUGGCAACAAAGGGCAGCAAAACCGCGAGGUCAAGCGAAUCCCAAAAAUCCAUCCUCAGUUCGGAUUGUAGGCUGCAACUCGCCUGCAUGAAGCCGGAAUCGCUAGUAACCGCAGGUCAGCUAAACUGCGGUGAAUACGUUCCCGGGCCUUGUACACACCGCCCGUCAAGUCACCUGAAUUGUCUGCACCCGAAGCCGGUGGCCUAACCGCAAGGAAGGAGCCGUCUAAGGUGUGGGGAGUAAGGGGGACUAAGUCGUAACAAGGUAACC
RNAcentral lists this ribosomal RNA (1481 nucleotides) under uncultured bacterium. RNAcentral describes it as "bacterial SSU rRNA". It matches the Rfam family "Bacterial small subunit ribosomal RNA". The record is from RNAcentral.